This is a long non-coding RNA of Lagopus leucura (white-tailed ptarmigan), 558 nucleotides long. RefSeq lists it as uncharacterized. Lineage: Eukaryota; Metazoa; Chordata; Aves; Galliformes; Phasianidae. The record is from RefSeq and is a predicted model, not a curated record. The transcript has 5 exons.
AACAUUAUACAGCAUGCCUAAAAAACAAGCUUAUUUUUAGAUUACUACAGGCUUGAACUUGGGCUGACAUAACAAGACGCUGCCAAUUACAGCAAGGUUAUUUCCUGAAGAUAAUUGGCCACGGCAUAGAAUCUUCAUGAAAGCACUUCACAUUUGCAUGGAGAACAUCAGCCAGCUGCAAGACUCAGUGAUUUGAAAUGAAGUGCCAGCAGUCAUCCCUUGUACAGCUACUUCUCUGAAGUAACUCCAGUUCCAGUAGAUGUCAUUUCCUCCACAUAUCUCUGCCUGAAAAGUCUGAUGAGGCUGUCACCAGAAAACUUCAGGAACUAAAGGUCCAGAUCCUCAAAAACGUAUCUGAGUUAUUCCAGACGAGUGCAGAAUGGACUACUGUGAUCUAAACAGAGCAAAGUGCUCCAGGAACAGUUGCAACAGACCAAACAAAAAGGAGAGCUAAAGACAAAGGAGCAAUACUGACAGAAAAACAUUAUGAAGAAUUCUCUCUGAAGAUGUUUGCAAGACAGACUCCCAGUAGUUUUGAAUAGCUCUAGUCACUUGUAC